Molecule: unclassified non-coding RNA, 873 nt
Filed under: Hevea brasiliensis (rubber tree)
Lineage: Eukaryota; Viridiplantae; Streptophyta; Magnoliopsida; Malpighiales; Euphorbiaceae
Source: RNAcentral
AUAUAUAUCUCUCAAUUUUAAUAAAAUUACAAUAAACGAAAAAUCCUGCAUGGCAAUCACUUAUCCAGUGAUUUGCAUAAAAACAUUAAUAAAGCAAAGCCCCAGUGUGCCUAUAUCAUCUGAAUUUCUGAAUCAUGAUUCAUUCCUGUGCCUCAUGAUUGAUGUCGUCAAGAAUCACAAUAAGCGCAACUAUGAACGCAUAAUCCAUUUUGGGAAACACUGUCACCAUGAACUUGUCCUUCCCUAACAAUAUACUUUGAGCCGUGUGCUUUUUUUGCAUCUGUGCGACGAUUGUGGCAGAGUCUUCGUCUCCUUUAUAAAUGACACAUGAUCGUUCGAAAAAACUCCCUUUCACCUUGAAAUCACACACCUUCUCUUCUGUGUUAUGUGCUAAAAAGACGUCUAACUUUGUCUUGAGAUAGAGUAUGGAAUGGGUUUUAGCACUGAAAAUCAGAUCCUUUGGGUCUGUGCUUUCUCCCCUGAAAACCUGCCAUCUGCUAUGUGCUGUCAUCGCCUUCCUUCGCAAUGUGACGAUGGUGUUUCCGGCAGCAUCAAGAAUGAGCUUCCUCUCAUGUACAAAGGUUAGGAGUAUUUCCUUAACCUGAAAAAUGAUGCUGCCAUUAAAGUCCUGGACAACAAAGUUGCCAUUGGCUAGAGUCAAAACCUUUCUGACAAUCGCUAGAUCAAUAGGGUAAGGGAGGCAGUAUCGAGGAUCGAUGAUCGCAAACGGUGCUGCGCUUGGCUGUGUCAUGUAGAAAAGAGAAAAAUAUAUAGCAAUCUAGGGAUAAUUAGAUUUCUUCGGCGUUGAUUCUGGGUUACGCGUAUAUCUUAUAAGAACUCAAGGCUCUCAUCGUGGCCUUAUAUACAGAAUUG